CCUACGGGAGGCAGCAGUAGGGAAUUUUGGGCAAUGGGCGAAAGACUGACCCAGCCACGCCGCGUGAUUGAGGAAGCUCUUCGGUGUGUAAAACUCUGUUUGUCGGGACGCAACAUGACGGUAGCCACCGCGGAUGCAUCGACUAAAUCCGGGCGAGCAGCCGCGGUAAUACGGGGGAGGCACGCUUUGUCCGGAAUUAUUGGGCUUAACGAGUUCGUUGGUGGGUCGUUAAGGCUGGUGGUAAAUGCAGAGGCUCAACCGCUGUUCGGCACUGGAUACGGGCAGGCUUGAUUGCGGUAGAGGUAAGGGGAAUGCCUGGUGUAGCGGUGAAAUGCGUAGAUAUCGGGAGGAACAUCGGUGGCGUAAGC
This 368-nucleotide ribosomal RNA is filed under the name uncultured bacterium. RNAcentral's name for it is "partial 16S ribosomal RNA". It matches the Rfam family "Bacterial small subunit ribosomal RNA", at positions 338 to 722 of the family's 1533-position model. The record is from RNAcentral.